This is a non-coding RNA of Macaca mulatta (Rhesus monkey), 523 nucleotides long. The record is from RefSeq and is a predicted model, not a curated record. NCBI's taxonomy places the organism in Eukaryota, Metazoa, Chordata, Mammalia, Primates, Cercopithecidae.
UGCCUCUGCCAUUAUCCUUGUUCAGGCUCUGAUUAUUACCCUGGCUGUUGAGAUAAAGGAUCCUUUGUCUAACGUCAACGUCCUCUAAACCACUCUCCAGGCAAUCACCAAGCCUGCACUAGGCCACCAGGCAUCCCUUAUGGUCAUAACUCCAUGUCAACUCCCUCUAAGCAGGUAUGACUUUCUGCUUUGCUAGAAGAAAUACUUGUUACAGUGCAGAGAUCUCUCCAGAAACAUCAGCCACUGUCAGAAAUAACAUUCUCCAUUUUGUCUACUUGUCCACCAUCACACCCUGCAAACUACAGCUUGUGCAUACAAUGCAGAAUCUUACUUCCAAGAUGCCAAACUCCUUUCUUGGCAGAUACAAAUAAAUCAAGAGCUACAUAUACUCUAACAAUCAUUCCAAUGGUAUCUACUUUUCUCAGACAUCAGUCUUCUACUUGUAACAUUUCUAAAAUUUGUCACUUUGUAAGAAUAAAUUGCUCUCCAAAGGCCAAAUAAACCAGAAAAAGGACUCCUCAAA